Molecule: ribosomal RNA, 581 nt
Filed under: uncultured bacterium
Lineage: Bacteria
Description: partial 16S ribosomal RNA
Rfam family: Bacterial small subunit ribosomal RNA
Source: RNAcentral
UGGGGAAUAUUGCACAAUGGGCGCAAGCCUGAUGCAGCCAUGCCGCGUGUGUGAAGAAGGCCUUCGGGUUGUAAAGCACUUUCAGCGAGGAGGAAGGUGGUGAACUUAAUACGUUCAUCAAUUGACGUUACUCGCAGAAGAAGCACCGGCUAACUCCGUGCCAGCAGCCGCGGUAAUACGGAGGGUGCAAGCGUUAAUCGGAAUUACUGGGCGUAAAGCGCACGCAGGCGGUUUGUUAAGUCAGAUGUGAAAUCCCCGGGCUCAACCUGGGAACUGCAUUUGAAACUGGCAAGCUAGAGUCUCGUAGAGGGGGGUAGAAUUCCAGGUGUAGCGGUGAAAUGCGUAGAGAUCUGGAGGAAUACCGGUGGCGAAGGCGGCCCCCUGGACGAAGACUGACGCUCAGGUGCGAAAGCGUGGGGAGCAAACAGGGUUAGAUACCCUGGUAGUCCACGCUGUAAACGAUGUCGAUUUUGGAGGUUGUGCCCUUGAGGCGUGGCUUCCGGAGCUAACGCGUUAAAUCGACCGCCUGGGGAGUACGGCCGCAAGGUUAAAACUCAAAUGAAUUGACGGGGUCAUAGCUG